Molecule: non-coding RNA, 209 nt
Filed under: Platyophrya macrostoma
Lineage: Eukaryota; Ciliophora; Colpodea; Cyrtolophosidida; Platyophryidae
Source: RNAcentral
UCACGCUCUUCUCCUUUCAUUUGAUUUCUUUUUUUUCUCUUUUUUUUCAACAACCACCUCACACCAACAUCAGUUCAGUCACAGGAGUGUGCAGCUGCCGAUGAUGGGUACAGAAGAAAGAAGAAACAACAAACCUUGAGGCCAUUUCUUAAAAAAAAGGAACGAGAGACCACACCCGUCAAAAAAAAAAAACAAAAAAAAACAACAUU